GGACUACAAGGGUAUCUAAUCCCGUUCGCUCCCCUGGCUUUCGCACCUGAGCGUCAGGAGCCUUCCCAGGAUGCUGCCUUCGCCAUUGGUGUUCUUCCAGAUCUCUACGCAUUUCACCGCUCCACCUGGAAUUCCGCAUCCCUCUGAAGUCCUCAAGUCUUGCAGUUUUCCAAGGCCUGUGGUAGUUAAGCCACCACCUGUCACUCGAAACUUACACGACCGCCUGCGUGCGCUUUACGCCCAAUAAAUCCGGACAACGCUUGCCCCCUACGUAUUACCGCGGCUGCUGGCAC
RNAcentral lists this ribosomal RNA (293 nucleotides) under uncultured bacterium. Its description in RNAcentral is "partial 16S ribosomal RNA". The record is from RNAcentral.